RNAcentral lists this ribosomal RNA (253 nucleotides) under uncultured bacterium. RNAcentral describes it as "partial 16S ribosomal RNA". It matches the Rfam family "Bacterial small subunit ribosomal RNA", at positions 524 to 776 of the family's 1533-position model. The record is from RNAcentral.
UACAGAGGCCACGAGCGUUGUUCGGAAUCACUGGGCAUAAAGCGCACGUAGGCGGCUAGGUCCGUCCGAUGUGAAAGCCCCCGGCUCAACCGGGGAAUUGCAUCGGAUACAGCCUGGCUCGAGGACGGUUGGGGUGAGUGGAACUCCUGGUGGAGCGGUGAAAUGCGUAGAUAUCAGGAGGAAUACCAGAGGCGAAGGCGGCUACCUGGACAAUUGCUGACGCUCAGGCACGAAAGCGUGGGGAGCAAACGGG